This 477-nucleotide ribosomal RNA is filed under the name uncultured bacterium. RNAcentral describes it as "bacterial SSU rRNA". It matches the Rfam family "Bacterial small subunit ribosomal RNA", at positions 28 to 467 of the family's 1533-position model. The record is from RNAcentral.
GAUGAACGCUGGCGGCGUGCCUAAUACAUGCAAGUCGAACGCAUUGUGGUUGAAAUGAUAUGAAGAACUUGUUCAGAUUUGAUUUUCAACAUUGCAAUGAGUGGCGAACGGGUGAGUAACACGUGGGAAACCUACCUCUUAGCAGGGGAUAACAUUUGGAAACAAAUGCUAAUACCGUAUAAUAAUUAAAACCGGAUGGUUUUAGUUUAAAAGAUGGUCUUGCUAUCACUAAGAGAUGGUCCCGCGGUGUAUUAGUUAGUUGGUGAGGUAAUGGCUCACCAAGACAAUGAUACAUAGCCGAGUUGAGAGACUGACCGGCCACAAUGGGACUGAGACACGGCCCAUACUCCUACGGGAGGCAGCAGUAGGGAAUCUUCCACAAUGGACGAAAGUCUGAUGGAGCAACGCCGCGUGUGUGAUGAAGGGUUUCGGCUCGUAAACACUGUUGUAAGAGAAGAAUGACAUUGAGAGUAACUG